GCGUUGUUCGGAUUUACUGGGCGUAAAGGGAGCGUAGGUGGUUAGGUAAGCCCUCCGGGAAAUCUUCAGGCUUAACCUGAAAAGGUCGGGGGGGACUGCCUAGCUAGAGGGCGGGAGAGGAGCGCGGAAUUCCCGGUGUAGCGGUGAAAUGCGUAGAGAUCGGGAGGAAGGCCGGUGGCGAAGGCGGCGCUCUGGAACGUUUCUGACACUGAGGCUCGAAAGCGUG
This 226-nucleotide ribosomal RNA is filed under the name uncultured bacterium. RNAcentral's name for it is "partial 16S ribosomal RNA". It matches the Rfam family "Bacterial small subunit ribosomal RNA", at positions 538 to 763 of the family's 1533-position model. The record is from RNAcentral.